GCCCUUGGGGGAAUCCCAGUUGCCUUGGUGUGGCGGUCCAAAUUAUUAGCAAAGAAAGGGAGGAUUUGCAACGUAAGCACCUUAGCCCUCGUUUUUAGUCGGCUUUGCGAGUGUAUAAUUAUGUUCACUCCGGGGCCUGAAACUCCCCUAUUCAAUUCGCGACGAUUGUACGUCCGCUAAGAAAAGUCAGAGAACUCAAAAACAACAUCAAUGGAGAAGUCAACAUACACGUUUCUCCUUACUGGUGGCAUAGUGGGUGUGGCCGGCCAGUUCAGGGACCGGGAGUUUGCUGCUUAUUCUAUGUAUCCUUUCACUGGUGCAAAGCUGUCUCUCACAGUAUAAUUCCAUGUACAAAAUUGUAUCUAUUGUUGUGAUUAAAUGCUGAGUUACCAUUGACACGUCACAAGGAAAUGUUUGUAGAUGCAUUAUAGACAUAUACACCAUCAUUUAUCUUAUUUGUGCCAUUUAUCUUAUUUGUGCAUUUAUGUCAAGAUGAGACCCAAAUGUAUAUUUGCAUUGUAUAGUGAGGUCCAGGUGUACCUGUUGUUGUUGAGUAACCUUGACUGGUGUGCCCAGAGCUGCAGGGGUGUUUGUCUGUCUACUAGAGUACCCAAGGGGCAAGAGAAACAAGGGCACCAGUGUAGAAAGGACGUGAGUACCCACAUAUGUAACAGUAUUGCUUCCGUCCUUCUCCUCACCUCUACCUAGGCUCGACCCAGGGACCCUCUGCACACAGACAACAGGCACCCUCGAAGCAUCGUUACCCAUCGCUCCACAAAAGCUGCGGCCCUUGCAGAGCAAGGGGAACAACUACUUCAAGGGGUCAGUACUGCUUCACUGUCUGUGUGAAGUCAUUCGGCCCACUGACCAGGAACUACUAUGUCAGAGCAUUUCUACAUGCAGCGAUCUGCGUUCCUGGUGGUUUCAUCCUUGCAGCUGUUCUUGGCUGUGUCUGCCUCGGCAUAGCUAGCCUCAUCUACCUUGCGGCGGCCAUCCGAGGGGAGCAGUGGGAGCCCAUCCUGCCCUGGAAGGAGAGUGCCCGUAAGCCUGUGGGAGAGAGCAUCAAGCUCCCUCCCCAGAACCCUCCACCACGCCCACCCGCAGAGAUGCGCAGGAAACGGGCAGAGGACCUGGAGGCGGCUGCCUAUGUCAACCCCAUCGCUGUCACUGCCAAUGAUGACUAGAUCCCCUUACUGUUCCUCCUUCAGGCCUGUUGGGCUAAGCUCACUCAGAUUAGCUUAUGGUUCCACUGAGCCCCAACCAAAACAGAUCUACAGUGGAGCCCCACCCAGGCCAUACUCAGUCCCGACUGCCUUUGGCUGAGGGCCGAAUCCUAAAUUGAGAUGGAUAAGCUUGCUUAACUUAGGUUUUGUGUAAAUUGGGAAUUGGCGUCAAUGGGAAUUUUUUAUGGACUGGUAUCAAGUUAGGAAUCAGGCCUCGGAGAGUAGAGGGUUGUGGAGAGGACACACUGCUGCUGAUGUUUGAUGAUGUAUAAGGGAUUGUAUUGAACUGAGAUGUUGCUGUGCCUUAGUUACUGCAAAAGGGUUGUGUCCUACAUCUCUGCACCACCUGCCACAUCUCUUUCAGUUAUAAUUUUGGUCCCCAAAAGGCUUUGGAAUGUAAAUGGAAAAUUUUGUAUUCUUGUUGCGACAGUAAGUUAUUUUGAGAGCAAUUGAACAAAUGGAUGUGGAUGAGAAUCAACCACAUUAACUGGCACAGACCUAAUGAAAUUGUUUUAAAAGAGAAUGAAGAGCUAUUUCUACAUUUUGUAUCCUCAAAAUAUACUGUAUUAUUUUACACUGGAAUGUUAAUUGUUUAUAAGCAAGCGCUGUUUUGCGUUAUCUAUUUAUCUUUUUGGACGGUUUACUAUGUCAGUGGUCAACUAGCUGUAUUAUGGACAGUUGUGUAUUCACCUCUCUACAAAAUAAUGUAUGUCUAUGUUUUAUGCUUGUUAUGCUUUUGAUACAAUCUGAAAAUAAACAGUUAUUCUAGUUAUUUAAAAUGUGCAUGUUUACCAUAUAAC
Molecule: RNA transcript, 2023 nt
Organism: Oncorhynchus kisutch (coho salmon)
Lineage: Eukaryota; Metazoa; Chordata; Actinopteri; Salmoniformes; Salmonidae
Gene name: cytochrome b-245 light chain-like
Exons: 5
Source: RefSeq, a predicted model, not a curated record